RNAcentral lists this ribosomal RNA (395 nucleotides) under uncultured soil bacterium. RNAcentral's name for it is "bacterial SSU rRNA". It matches the Rfam family "Bacterial small subunit ribosomal RNA", at positions 26 to 443 of the family's 1533-position model. The record is from RNAcentral.
AGAGCGAACGCUGGCGGCAGGCCUAAUACAUGCAAGUCGAGCGGUCCCUUCGGGGGCAGCGGCGGACGGGUGAGUAACGCGUGGGAACGUGCCCUUUGGUACGGAACAACUGAGGGAAACUUCAGCUAAUACCGUAUGUGCCCUUCGGGGGAAAGAUUUAUCGCCAUUGGAGCGGCCCGCGUUGGAUUAGGUAGUUGGUGAGGUAAAGGCUCGACCAAGCCUACGAUCCAUAGCUGGUCUGAGAGGAUGAUCAGCCACACUGGGACUGAGACACGGCCCAGACCUCCGUACGGGAGGCAGCAGUAGGGAAUCUGCGCAAGUGGGCAAAGCCUGACGCAGCCAUCGCCGCGUAGAAUCGAUGGAAGUCGUUAGAUUAGUAAAUUCUUACGACCGGG